Long non-coding RNA from Brachypodium distachyon (stiff brome), 6495 nucleotides. RefSeq lists it as uncharacterized. NCBI's taxonomy places the organism in Eukaryota, Viridiplantae, Streptophyta, Magnoliopsida, Poales, Poaceae. The record is from RefSeq and is a predicted model, not a curated record. The transcript is spliced from 3 exons.
CUUUCGUGACUUUAAAAUUCUUUUCCAACUUAUUUUUCAACUCGAAUUUGCUGCCUUUGUCAGCAAAUUCUGUACUAUUGCAGAUGCUGAAACUUGGAUGAGAUAUAAUCUGGAACCGCGGCUUUUGUCCGAUUGAUCUCUGCCAGUCGACCAGGCUUAAUCCCUAUCCUUCACUAUUUGAUGCAUAAUUUAUCUGCUUAAGACGCUUCCCUCCCCCAAAUUACAAAAUCGUAGAAAGGUUGCUCAUUGCAGGACGAUCCAACACUCCAACCUGAUGCUGUAGCUGGGUUAUAUCUGUUUGCAGAUAUUCUAAACCUACCUUCUCCAUUCAUUCAAAACUUAACCUAUAUAAAAUAGUCAUGCGGAGGCAAUAUAUGAACUCACAGAUUGAUUUGCAGAUGUGCAAGAUUAGAAGUGCGCUCUGGAGCUUCAAUCUAGACGUCUCAACCUACAACCCCCCAAAAAAACUCAUUAUACUCUAUUAAAUCUCUUAAAAGCUCUUAUUUUAAGCCUUUAUUAAAAUUUCCGCUUUGCCUGAGUUGCUUAUUGCUCGUAGCUUCGAUUCGAGUUUUAUGGCCUCUGCCUUUCUGUGCCUGCUGUUAGCCACAUGAAAUCUGUUAUACUUUGGUUUGCAAUCCAUCCAUCCAUGGUUUAUCUUAAUAAAUGCUUCUCUUUGUGUUCUUCUGUGCUUGGAACUUUGGAUAACGAGUCCCUCAAUUUAAUUUCUUCGUAUGCACAUAUCAAUUUUAGUCUACAACAAUAUUUGUGAUUUAGAUUUUUGUUGGUGGUUCUCCAGAAAUUGGAAUUCUAGAGCUCAAUGGAAGGUCGUAUUUUGCUUCAAGAUGUGGCUGGCACUUCCUACUGAGUUUGGAUAAUUGAGUCCCUGGAUUUAAUUUCUUCGUCCGACAUUCACUUAGUCUCCAACAUUUCUGAUUUGGAUUUGUUGGUGGUUCUCCGGAAGUUGGAAUUGUACAGCUUCGCAGCUCUAGUUUGCUUCAGCAUGGCCCGCACCUCUCUCUCGCCUCCUAGCGUUUACACAAACUGUUUCCCUGUCUCAGAUGGCUUUUGUAUGUGUUUUUAGGCCAACCUGAUGGAGCACUCUAAUUAGAUGCAGGACGGAGUCGCAGAUGAACGAAGUUCUGCAGAGAUGAGCCGAAUGGUGGAGGUUUUGCGUUCGUAGUUAUUUUGAUUGGUUGGGUUCAACGAUUGUUUUGUUCAAAGCGUCUGAAAUGAAGUUCUGGUGUUAUAUUGAAGCUAGAUCGGAUCGAUUUGCGACCUACGAAUGGGGAAUUGUAGAGCUUAGCGGGAGAACCUAUCUUGCUUCAGUCGGAUACUCGGUUCCCUUUCCAACCUGCAACUUAUUUGUGUUUGGAUAGUCAAUCUCAAUCCCCUUCGAUUUACUUUCGUCUCUGGUGAUUCUGAUUUGUAUUCACUGGUGAUCCUACAGAAAUUGGAAUUAUACAGCUUAGAGGGAGAUUCUAUUUUGCUUCAGUAGGAUCGCUUUUCAACCUGCAACCUGAUAUAUGUUUGGAUAAUAAAUUUCAACCUCCAUUAUAUUAAAUUUCUUCCGUAUGCACAGUACAAUUUCAUCUCUAGAUAUUCUGAUUUGGAUUUGCUGGUGGUUCUACAGAAUUUUGAAUUAUACAGCUUUGGAGGAGAUCCUAUUUCGCUUCAGCAAGGGCAUUCCCUUCUGUGUUUGGAACUUUGGAUAAUGAGUCCCUCAAACUAAUUUUUUCGUUUGCACAUAUCAAUUUUAGUCUACAACAAUAUUUCUGAUUUAGAUUUUUGUUGGUGGUUCUCCAGAAAUUUAAAUUCUAGAGCUCAAUGGAAGGUCGUAUUUUGCUUCAAGAUGGGGCUGGCACUUCCUUCCGAGUUUGGAUAAUUGAGUCCCUAGAUUUAAUUUCUUCGUCUGACAUUCACUUAGUCUCCAACAAACAACAGUUAUGAUUUGGAUUAGUUGGUGUUUCUCCGUAAGUUGGAAUUGUACAGCUUCGUGUUCUAGUUCGCUUCAGCAUGGUCCCGAUGGUUCCUUUUCGUGACUCAACCAUUCCCAUUUCUUCUAUUAUUGAAUUUCCAAAUAUUACCUUACUCGGUAAUUCUCAGCUUCUUGCAGAUACUGGCUUGAAGAGACAUAAUUGCAGUUCGGAACCGGUGUUAUUAUUAUCAGACCUUCCCAGCCAUGUCAAACUUUAUUUCCCCAUCACUUUUAUGCAUUCUUUAGCUGUUUAAGCAGCACAACUUCCCUCACAUUUUUUUUUUACAAAAGGUCUUCCUCAUUGCAGGUCAUAUUUAACGAGUUCAAGUUGAACCUAAUUCUGAUUUGAUUGAUCUGCAAAGGUGGACCUUUCUAAGGAUGAUCUGGAGCUACUAAUGGAUGAUACUAUCCUACAACAGAAAAACUUGGCUCUAUUCUUAUCUCUGACACUCUAAUUUCGAGUAUUUUGUUCUGUUUUUACUUUGUUUAGCUGCUUUACAUAGCUUUGAUUUCGGUUUUUGCCUAAUACCCUUACAGUGGUUGCAGAUUUUGCCCAGGCCAUGCUUGAGUUACUCGAAAUCUGUUGGAUGGUUUGCGCUUUCUCUCUGGUUCAGUUUAUUGUUUGUAUUCCCGACCCGCCUUGUUGGUUGUAGGUUAUGGAGUUCCAUGAACCUAUAGCAGAAUCUGUGCUCUUCUAGUGGAGACAGGUCAGUCACAGUUGUUUGGUUCAUUUGUGUUCGCCACAUCCACGCUUAGUUCCAGGAAACUACAUCUGAUCUGGAAAUGUGCUCUUCCCAUGUGGAGUCAGGUCAGUCACGGUUAUUCGGUUCAUGGUUCAUUUGUGUUGUGCUGCCUCCAUGCGUCUGUUGCAGGAUAUUAGAUCUGGUCUGGAACUGCUUGUGGUAUGUUGAUCAAAUGAGGUUGAUCAUGAGGUGCAUUUGAGGCUUUGUGUUGGUUCUUAUCGUAACAACUGAUCUUGCUUGUGGUAUUUUGUCUGUGCUCCUUCAAAUGCAGGAGGUGCUGGUUGUGGAUGCAUGAGUCAAAGGGUUGAGGUUUGCUUACUGUUCAUUCUUAUUUUUAUUGGCUAUGGUUCAGUAGAUCUGUGAGCUGGUGUUGGAUUCAUGCUGAAUUGGAUCGUUGACCAUAGGUCGGAUAACAUGAACUUGCUUGGAUAACCACCCCACCUCUUUGUCUGCAAAGUUCAAUAUUGGUAUAUGAUAAAUCUGAUCUGUAUCGUUGGUUGUCCAGAAAAUUGGACUUAGAUGACACUCCAGGAUGUCUUAUUUUCCUACCGCAUGUUACCAGCAGUUCCUUUCGUGACUUCAACAAUCUUUUCCAACUUAUUUUUCAACUCGAAUUCGCUGCCUUUGUUAGUAAUUCGGUGCUAUUGCAGAUGCUGAAACUUGGAUGAGAUAUAAUCUGGAACCACUGCUUUUGUCUGAUUGUUCUCUGCCGGUCUACCAGGCUUAAUCCCUGUCCUUCACUAUUUGGUGCAUGAUUUAUCUGCUGAAGCAGCUUCCCUCCCCCAAAUUACAAAAUCAUAGAAAGGUUGCUCAUUGCAGGUCCUAGCUGACGAUCCAACACUCCAACCAACCUGAUGUUGUACCUGGGUUAUAUCUGUUUGCAGAUAUUCUGAACCUACCUUCUCCAUUCGUUCAAAACUUAACCUAUAUGAAUGCAGAGUCAAUAUAUGAACCCACAGAUUGAUUUGCAGAUGUGCAAGAUUAGAAGUGCGCUCUGGAGCCUCAAUCUAGACGUUUUCGUGGCCUCAUCUCCUUCCCAUGUUUUGCAUGUUUUUUUGUUGUCGAGCGGCUUUCUUCAAAAUGGUUUAGAUCACAGACUUCGUUCAUUGCAGGCCUAGUUGAUAAUUCUCCAAGAGGAAUUAAUCUAGUCAUGCAUGCUUCGUUUGUUAGAGAACCAAUUACUUGUAUCUUAGCUGUUACAAGUGAAGUAAUCUCAGAGGAAAGGCUUGAUUAGAAAGUCGUAAUAUCCAGCAUGGAGAAGUUUCCCACAACUGUCAUAAAUUUUUUAUUGGCGUCCAGCAACUGGAGUUUUAAGUAUGGAUUGUGGACUAGAGCUUUCCAUAUGUGGAUUUAUUCAAUGGAUUUCUUCUCAUGACAAGUGAUCAAUUCAGACUCGCAUCUUUAAUAUGUUCAGAAGCAGCUUACAUUUGCAUAUCUCAACACCAUUAAGAUGUGCAUGCUCCGUGACCGUGACAGUCUUUCAGUAUACCUGAGAAGUUCUUCAAAAAUGAUAGGAAAAUCUUUGAGAUAAACUCUUGCUCAAUUCCUGGUCAUCUUGGAAAAGAAUCUGAACGGGCUGAGAAAUUCGUUCACAAACUCACUUAAUCCCACUCCUUUUGUUGACUUGCUGCCACUAUUAUCUGAAUUCAUAUUUUUUCAAUUCAGUGGCAUGAAGAACUUGAUUACUGUGCACUGUGUAAAUGUAGAGUUAUAUGGAUUGCUUUACAGAAGUUGGAAACUCUGGCUUUCAUCUUGAGCAUUAGCAGUCCUGUUUCUGAUGAUAUUUUUCAUUCCUAGGAAUGUUUCAGAUUGUUGGCAGCACAGUGUUCUCCAGAGAAUGAAUAAGUUGGCUUGGUGUCUUGAAGUCAGAUAUCUGAUCAUCAAUGUCCUUUUUCGUGCCUGUUGCUCAAUUUUUUGUUCUUAUUAUCUGAUCAGGAUUAACUUGUUCAUGACAUAGGAGAUUUUUAUUUACCACAUAGGAGACUGCCUUAGAGUCUUUGAUCUCCCAUAUUAAUUUAUCCAUUUGUUGCAUCCCGUACUUUCUCUAUACAACCAGCUAGUAUAUUAUUCAAGCGAAGUCUGAGAUGAAUAAUUAUUUUGUUUUGUUCAUGCCUAAAGUUCAUACUUCUGUAUCUGUUCUUAUCUGGUCAGGUCUACAUUAUGCAUCUAGCUUAGUACGGCAUUGGUUGCACCAUAAGACCAGCUUUCGCUCUUCAGCAUUUUUUUUAUCAAUCUAUCUAAACAAUCGUGAACUCUAGUUGAUAGUGUUAUAUGCACCUUUGGUUGUGAUUUUGCAAGGUUUUUUUUGCUGUUCCUUUCCUUUCUCAACUAUGGUUCGUUCGGUUCGUCCCGAAGCACAUUUAUUUGAUCCUUUCUAUCACAAACGAUUUGAAGGUACUGUGGAUGUCAAUCUAUUAUGAUGUGUGAUGGAAUUGGUAGACCCUGAGUCUCUAAUUCCAUUCCAGUUUAAUACUCCCCAUAAUAAGUGUCUUGGAUUUAGUACAAAGUUGUAGUCCCUCCGAUACAUAAAAUUUGUCUUGGAUUUGGUACCAAGUUGUACACUUUUUAUGGAUCAGAGGGAGUACAACUUUUUACUAAAUCCAAAGUUGUACACUUUUUAUGGAUCGGAGAGAGUAGUUUAUAUCUGACUUCCUUUCAAGAAUUGUGAUUGGUCUGUUCAUCAAUUUGUUCUUAGUGGAAGACUCUAGGUGGAAGGUCUAGCGAAACUUCGGUUAGCAGAGGGCUUUGGUGAAGCUUGGAGUUAUCAACCAUGUUUGCUCACUUGACUGUUCUGACUUCUGAUUUGUGAUCUUGAAAUUACUUUAUUUGGUCAUUGAUCCGUUCUUAGUGGAAGACUCCAGUUGGAAGGUCUAGUAAAAAAGUCAGUUAGCUAUCGUGUUUGCUUACCUGACUGUUCUGACUUUUGAUUAGUGAUCUUGAAGUUACUUGAUGUGGUCUUUGGCAACUUACAGUUCCAAUUCGUCAGUGGCCUGAUCUCCUUGCGCAUUUUAGAGUCAUUAUGGUAUGGCAUGAGGUAUCUGCUUCAGUUUGCGUGCGGUUUGGAUGGAAGCUGAUCUCAUCUGAUUUCACAAUGCCUUUGCCGGUCCCAAGCCCGGAUGAGAAAAUGUGGAGGGAACUCCUUUCAGCAUUUUCAUGGUCUCCAAAUAUUUUCAAUCGAGUAAUAGUGGAUGAAGUUCCAUUCUUAAACUUCACGUAAUGUGGAAGCAUAUGGUUCAAACUUUGGAAUGCACCUUGCCGUGAUGGGAAUCAAAAUUUAUUUAUUCCCAAGGUAAGUGGUCACAGUUAGAACUGAACUCCAGGAAGUGACUGAUUCCUUUCUGAAGAUGUAACAUUAGUGUAAGGCAUUACAUAGCAGGCCUCAUCUAAGGUUCAAGAACCGUAUAUAUACUUUCCUUUUGAGUUCUUUUAUUGCUAUAAAUGUCUAUUGCUGUCAAUGUUCUUAUACUCAUUGGCAAGCAGAACUCCCGCAUUGUUUGAUGGCCAGUAUGUGCUUUCGAUCUAGCAUACUGGGUGCUGCUAGGCAAGCCUGUUCCUUUGAUCCCAUAUUCUUCAUUCUUAAUUUGAUGCUGGAACUUACUCUAGCAUACUGAGUAAUGUCUUCAAACUUUGGAUAAUUCAAGAAUGAGCGACAGUUAUGAUUAUCUUGAUCCUUUUGAUCCGGCUUUUUGCAACUCAGCAGCAAAAUACCCUUUGUCGGUCCUAAUUCUAAACUCUGCUAGUUCUUCUAUUUUUCACUUGCUGUAUGGGAUGAUACAA